UUGGAGGGCAAGUCUGGUGCCAGCAGCCGCGGUAAUUCCAGCUCCAAUAGCGUAUAUUAAAGUUGUUGCAGUUAAAAAGCUCGUAGUUGAACCUCGGGAUCAAUGGAUCGGUCAUGCCAUCGGUAUGUACUGGUCUCAUUGGUUCUCACCUUCUAAGGAACCAUGAUGUCAUUCAGUUGAUGUUGUGGGGAAUUAGGACUGUUACCUUGAAAAAAUUAGAGUGUUUAAAGCAGGCUAACGCUUGAAUACAUUAGCAUGGAAUAAUGAAAUAGGACAUCGCGUUCUAUUUUGUUGGUCUCUAGGAUCGAUGUAAUGAUUAAUAGGGAUAGUUGGGGGCAUUAGUAUUCAAUUGUCAGAGGUGAAAUUCUUGGAUUUAUUGAAGACUUACUACUGCGAAAGCAUUUGCCAAGGAUGUUUUCAUUAAUCAAGAACGAAAGUUAGGGGAUCGAAGACGAUCAGAUACCGUCGUAGUCUUAACCAUAAACUAUGCCGACUAGGGAUCGGAUGAUGUUGAUUUUUUAAUGACUCAUUCGGCACCUUACGGGAAAC
RNAcentral lists this ribosomal RNA (549 nucleotides) under uncultured Glomus. RNAcentral's name for it is "SSU rRNA". It matches the Rfam family "Eukaryotic small subunit ribosomal RNA", at positions 548 to 1098 of the family's 1831-position model. The record is from RNAcentral. Lineage: Eukaryota; Fungi; Glomeromycota; Glomeromycetes; Glomerales; Glomeraceae.